CAAAACCGCUCUGACUUCCGGCCGCCUUCUCCCGGAGUCCGCCCCUCCUGGGACGGUUCAUUGGACCCGCCCCCAGGCGCUCUAUUGCUUCGAGGAAAACGAGACCCAAUCAGGGAAAUAAAGUCUGUGGGGAAAAUAAACCCAAAUGAGAAGAAAUCAACUUGGACAAGGAGGACCAAACCCUGGGGGAAGAAAACCUAGUCAUGGGGAAAAUGAGUCCCAGGGAGGGAAAGAAAGCCAGCUUGGAGGGAAUGCAUCGUGUAUGAGUCCAUCCAUUUCUCACAGAGGGAAGGAGAGUUCCGGGCUGGGGGAAGAGCAGAAACGAAGGUGGCCAGGUAUGAAUGUGAGUUUGGGAGGAGUGAAUCAGACUAGGGAGAAGCCCAGGGCUGCUUUCUCCCCAUAAGGAGAACAAGAUUUACCUGGGAGAGUUUCUUAGCCUCUGGCAACUUCUCUCUCCUGGUGGAGAGUUUGCCUCCAGCACUCAGGCUCUCUCUAGAACCCUGGAAACUGAGGCAAACAGGAUGAAGUGACUUGUCCAGGAGCACAUAGUAAGUGCCUGAGGCCAGAUUUGAACACAGCCGGUCUCCCUGUGCACUAUGGCGCCACCUAGAGUUCCCUUCCUCUCCUCCACCUCAAGUUCCCUCAAUCUUUUGUUUCAAAUUUCAGCCAUUAUUAUGUAUCUGUAGUUGGCAA
Molecule: long non-coding RNA, 693 nt
Organism: Antechinus flavipes (yellow-footed antechinus)
Lineage: Eukaryota; Metazoa; Chordata; Mammalia; Dasyuromorphia; Dasyuridae
Exons: 3
Source: RefSeq, a predicted model, not a curated record